This is a long non-coding RNA of Siniperca chuatsi (mandarin fish), 2501 nucleotides long. RefSeq lists it as uncharacterized. The record is from RefSeq and is a predicted model, not a curated record. Lineage: Eukaryota; Metazoa; Chordata; Actinopteri; Centrarchiformes; Sinipercidae. The transcript has 5 exons.
UGAAGCGCACGCCAUCUUUUUCUCCGGGCAUUUUGGGGAUUCCUCUCUCAAUUAGAGGGAAGAUAACGUCCAGAAAUAAUAAUAACAUUUCACUAAUGCACUCAUAUAUUCGGUUUUGUUUCUCCAAAUCACGAGUGACCGUUGCAUUGAACAUAGCAACUGUAGCGUUAUAUGUGAAAGGUGGAGGCAGUUUUUGGGCUACUGACACGGAGUUGGCAUUAUACUUGCUGCAUGGACAGGAGUUUGAUAUGGAGCUUAUGGGGAAAAGGAGGAAGAUCAAUCCUGGUGUCAGCAGCUCAGCGCACAUCUCUCCCAGUAACGGCAGGACAAGUGUCAGCUGGAGGAGAGGCAGCCGCCAUGCAGAGAGAGAGAGAGCGAGAGACUUCUAUACAUGCCAUGGAAGAAACCAGCAUCUCCAGUGAGUGAGCGGUUUGAUUUGGUCCUGGGAGUUGAUGGCCCAGCAGGUCUGCCUGUCAAAGAGCAUCUCGGAGCUGUCACGGCCCACCUGCCACACGGAUGGAACUUCCCUCUAGUCCUCACCGUUACCCACAAGGCACCUGGACAGCAGAUAGGAUGGCGUGGAUUGGAAGGUUGAUGUGAGGGAAAGACAAUCAGUCAGGUAAAUAAAGAAGUGGUCCGACAGUGAGGUGGGGUUCCGGGCCAAGGAGGGGCCUGAGGUGCGGCGAGGUUUCUCUGUGAAGAAGCGCGGCAGACCUACUGUGUGAUCCGUGUUGAUAAGAUGACGGGCUAUAGACAGGAGCAGCACACCAAACGGAAUCCUCAAUAAAAGCAAAUAUGACAGCCAAAUGUUGAAAAGAGAAAAAAACAAACCCACCGAUAUCUAAAACACAAAGACAAAGCCCCUGAAAAUACUACAGUGAAAGGCAGAUCUCGGCACUAGUGUUUCACUCCUUAUUGAACUGGGGUGGCUGAGAAGAGGUGCAGAAUAUUAGAUAUCAUUGCACAGCGCUGGAAUGACAUGAUGAAAAGCAACAGAACCCACUGUGCUCCCACAAAUCAGCAGCAAGCAUCAGAGACAGACAAAUUCAAAUCCACAGUUGAAACAAUACAUAAAAAGUGGGAUUAAGUUUGCAGUGUAUCUUCACAAGAAAAAACAGACUCACUAUAAAGUGUGUUUUGGUUUAGUAGAGUGUAGUGAGCACAUUCAGAUAUCCUCUAAGAUGAUACUGUUUUUUUACCCUCUUAUAUCUUCAUAAAUCAUACCCAAAUAUGACUUAUUUAAAGGUUCGUUGAGAGCUUGAAACUCCUCCAGCCUUUUCAUCUUAAUACACUUGUGCUGUCUGGACAAGUUCAGCACAGUCCUGUUAGUUGCCGUACCAGAGCAUAAAUCCUUCCUCUUUGUCACUUUGAUCAGCCUCCCUUCCUUUCCUCAAGUGUCCAUAAGGAAUGUGAGGUGGGUGGGGGACAGCGGGUGGAGAGUGAGGAAGGGGUGAGGUGACAGGACGCGAAAGGAGGAGGGACGAAGGGGUGGGGUAUAGCACAUAUCGCAUCGCAUUGAUUCGGUCCAUUUGGUGGACUGAACAUGAACCCAAUAAUCAGAUCUUGCUUAAGCACGCGCUUCCUCAGUAAUUGACUCUCGCAUAUUGAUUAAGAUGUUGAUGUGUCCCAGUCCUGCUCCUGUGCUAAUGCAACUGAGAAUGAGCCUGACCCCCCCCACUUGCAACACUGACACACAGACACAUCACACACACACACACACACACACACACAUGCAUGAACAGAGAUACAUGCACAGAAGCACACACGCAGCCGGAACAAGCCUGUCAUUGGGUUCAGUCUAAUAGAUAAAGCUGUCAUGCCGAUGCUGCAGUGUCUCACAGGGCCAGCAGACCAAAUUAGCCUGUCAAUAAUUUAUGUAGAAUAAGAAAGAGAAAGAAACACUGACAGAAAAGUGAACAACACUGGGUGGAAAUGGCUGCGACAUACAAAUUACUGGGGGAUUUGAUUUUUGCUUUAAAAAUGUCAGUUGCUUAGGUCAGUGUUUAUUUUUAUCUUUUAUUCUUUCCCUCCAUCCAUUAGGAGCUUGUUAAAAACAUUUUAUUUGAGCAGAAAAGAUGUACACACCUUUCCAUAAAUAUUGGAUAUUAAAGAGGCAAACUUGACACAUUGAUUUGUUUACUGUUGUGCAUAUUAACUGUACAUGUACAUAUGUUGUGGGAUUUGAUGACCUCAAAUGGACAGGUAUUUCACUUUACCAUCAUCUGUUUCUAAUGAUCUUUUAUUUAAAAAAACAAACAAAUUAGAAAUCAACCAGUUGGAGAAAAUAAGUAGAAAAAGUUUCAUGUAUUUGGCCUGAUACUGUGCUAUAACAUGAUAUGAUGUUUAAUUUACAGUCCUAUCAGUGUUUUAGUAGUGCCCCUUGUUUCAGCUGUCUUAAUCUUAAAAAGGUUUUUUUAACAGCUGCAACAUAAAUAGUCAUUUUUUAUUUUACCACAAUUAUAUAAAGGCACUAAUAUGUGGCAACUCUGAUCCUGCUGUUA